CUUUAGUGAUGAGUUUCCACUUCGGUCCGUGUUUCUGAGAGCAGUGAUUAUACUAGAAGUUCUGAAGGG
Small nucleolar RNA from Hucho hucho (huchen), 69 nucleotides. Its record names the gene SNORD18. It matches the Rfam family "Small nucleolar RNA SNORD18". Rfam says of the family: U18 is a member of the C/D class of snoRNA which contain the C (UGAUGA) and D (CUGA) box motifs. The record is from Ensembl. Lineage: Eukaryota; Metazoa; Chordata; Actinopteri; Salmoniformes; Salmonidae.